GACAUUGGACUGGGGAGGAGGAAGCACAACUUUAUUUUCUGGCCCGAAGCUGGGUUGGUAUUUGGGGGAGUUCUUGGGAACACAGUGUGUCUGUGCAAUUUCAACCCUGGGGGAUCCAGGGGACUCCAGCCAUUCCAGAGGAGAUAAACCUGCCAGUAAUUUCAGCAAAUGAAACGUGGAACACGUCAAGGCCAGAGGAUGGAAAAGGCUCCAGUUUUGAUAAAAGGAGGCCUGCUUGGCUUGGAAUCCUCUCUCCUGCUGGUUGGGAGAUGCAAAGAUGUUUCCAGAGAGGGGCUGAUGAAUUGAGGGGAAAGAAAUGAGCCCAGUAUGAGUCCCCUUUCAGGGCUGAGCGUGUAUAAAACCAAACAACUUGGAACCGCUCCAAGAGAGGGGAUUAAAGCAACAUGUUAUUCUGAGUGAUUGCUUAAUUUAUUGAGCUGCGGCUGGAUCUGUAAUGAAAUACAGCCCUUGUAACUGAUAACCUCCUGCUGCCAUUGAACUUCUACAAUUAAGGAAUAUUUUCUGAGUUUCUCUGGAACGGCUCUGAAUUUUUAGCCUCUGUGGUAGGGUGCUUCUGAACAUUUGUUUUCCAGGCAAUUUUUUUUGAGUAUUAGGCUGAUGUUAAUAAAUAAGCAGCAUUUUAUUGAGUGUUUUGUGGGAACCAGGAACUUUAUAUACAUUGUUUCUAAUCCUGACACUAAUCCUGUCAAUAUCCAGUGAAAUAACCCCUAUUAUUCCCUAUUUUACAGAUGUGAAGCCACGAGACGUUAGGUCAUUUUCUAGAGUGGUGCUGUCCAAGACAGUAGCUGUGAUGGCUCCUUGUGGCUAUUGAUGUGUAAAUUAGUUAAAAUUAAAUAAAUUUUAACAUUUACACCCUAGGUUGCACUAACAA
RNAcentral lists this long non-coding RNA (892 nucleotides) under Homo sapiens (human). Its description in RNAcentral is "non-protein coding MIR193BHG:32". The record is from RNAcentral. Lineage: Eukaryota; Metazoa; Chordata; Mammalia; Primates; Hominidae.